RNAcentral lists this ribosomal RNA (492 nucleotides) under uncultured bacterium. RNAcentral describes it as "partial 16S ribosomal RNA". It matches the Rfam family "Bacterial small subunit ribosomal RNA", at positions 29 to 507 of the family's 1533-position model. The record is from RNAcentral.
AGUGAACGCUGGCGGUAGGCCUAACACAUGCAGGUCGAACGGCAGCACAGUAAGAGCUUGCUCUUACGGGUGGCGAGUGGCGGACGGGUGAGGAAUACAUCGGAAUCUACUUUUUCGUGGGGGAUAACGUAGGGAAACUUACGCUAAUACCGCAUACGACCUACGGGUGAAAGCAGGGGAUCUUCGGACCUUGCGCGAUUGAAUGAGCCGAUGUCGGAUUAGCUAGUUGGCGGGGUAAAGGCCCACCAAGGCGACGAUCCGUAGCUGGUCUGAGAGGAUGAUCAGCCACACUGGAACUGAGACACGGUCCAGACUCCUACGGGAGGCAGCAGUGAGGAAUAUUGGACAAUGGGCGCAAGCCUGAUCCAGCCAUACCGCGUGGGUGAAGAAGGUCUUCGGGUUGUAAAGCCCUUUUGUUGGGAAAGAAAAGCAGCAGGUUAAUACCCCGCUGUUCUGACGGUACCCAAAGAAUAAGCACCGGCUAACUUCGUG